RNAcentral lists this ribosomal RNA (498 nucleotides) under uncultured bacterium. RNAcentral's name for it is "partial 16S ribosomal RNA". It matches the Rfam family "Bacterial small subunit ribosomal RNA", at positions 29 to 523 of the family's 1533-position model. The record is from RNAcentral.
AUUGAACGCUGGCGGCAUGCCUUACACAUGCAAGUCGAACGGUAACAGGCCGCAAGGUGCUGACGAGUGGCGAACGGGUGAGUAAUACAUCGGAACGUGCCCGAUCGUGGGGGAUAACGCAGCGAAAGCUGUGCUAAUACCGCAUACGAUCUACGGAUGAAAGCGGGGGAUCGCAAGACCUCGCGCGGACGGAGCGGCCGAUGGCAGAGUAGGUAGUUGGUGGGGUAAAGGCCUACCAAGCCGACGAUCUGUAGCUGGUCUGAGAGGCCGACCAGCCACACUGGGACUGCGACACGGCCCAGACUCCUACGGGAGGCAGCAGUGGGGAAUUUUGGACAAUGGGCGCAAGCCUGAUCCAGCCAUGCCGCGUGCAGGAUGAAGGCCUUCGGGUUGUAAACUGCUUUUGUACGGAACGAAAAGGUUUCUCUUAAUACAGGGAACUGAUGACGGUACCGUAAGAAUAAGCACCGGCUAACUACGUGCCAGCCGCCGCGGUAA